Molecule: long non-coding RNA, 1001 nt
Organism: Drosophila teissieri
Lineage: Eukaryota; Metazoa; Arthropoda; Insecta; Diptera; Drosophilidae
Exons: 2
Source: RefSeq, a predicted model, not a curated record
GGUAGUAACAAUAAUAAUUAUCAGAAUAUUCAUCAAAAUAACAAUAGAACAGCUGGUGAAUAUAUUUUGGAUAAUUGUUUUCGGGUCCCCAGCAUCGCGCUUCGAUUUUUUUUUCGACGAUCGUAAAGCAUGCAAGUUCGGUCUAAUCCCAGCAGAGAUACAGUUGCGGUCAAAAUAAUAGUAGUGCCGGUGAAGCAACACGUUAUUUCUCAUUAUUUCCUCUAUGCCUUCACAUAUUCAAAUAAUUUUUUCACACAAGUGACGUUAAUUCUUUGCUCUCUAAGAACGUAAAGUUAUUUUCGGUUCUCUCUUCGUUUUACAUUCUUUUUCGGCUUUAAUUGCAAGGAUGCACUUGUUUGACCCAGUCAAAAUAAUAGUAGUGCCAGCUAAAUUGACAAGAAUAAUUAAAUUUAAUCGCUUUUUAGCCAGACUCUUCUUUGAAAUUAGGUACAGAAUAUAUGGGGCGUGGCAAACACUGUAAUGCCGAGAGGCGGUAACUCAUUAAAAAACUGAUUUUUUCUGGAAAGACUUAUGUCAGGGUGCAAAAUAUUAUCGGAUGCUCUUCUACAAUGAUUAGAAAUGCAAUCAAAUAUGAACCAACAAAUGAAACUCGUGGUCGGUUCAAGUUAUUGACCAAAAGGUCAGUAGAUCGCUUAACAAGACAGGCAAGAAGCAAUCCUUUCGGGUCCACUGCAGCCCUAAAAAAAAUCUUGUAAAAUUAAUUUUAGUUUGGAAACAAUAAGAUGUCUCGGAGAUGAAAACCUCAUUUCAAGAAGUCCACGAAAAGUGCCGUUACUAACAAAAAAACAUGCAGCAAGUUAUGCAACAUUCCGUUUGAAGUUUGCAAGAAAGCACUUGAAUUGGCCUUUGGAGAAGUGGAGGAAUAUUUUGUGGUCGGAUGAGUCCAAGAUAGUUUUGUUUGGAGGCCAUGGCUCUCGGGAGUUUGUUAGACGACCACCCUUAUCUGACUUUUUCCCGAAAUAUACAUUAAAAACGGUUAA